AUUCCAGCUCCAAUAGCGUAUACUAAAGUUGUUGCAGUUAAAAAGCUCGUAGUUGAAUUUCUGGUCGUGGCGACCGGUCCGCCCCUCACGGGGUGUGCACCUGGUCUCUGCGUCCAUCCUCGGGGAGAGCGUAUCUGGCAUUCAGUUGUCGGGUGCGGGAUCCUCGUCAUUUACUGUGAGCGAAAUAGAGUGUUCAAAGCAGGCUUAGGCCGUUGAAUACAUUAGCAUGGAAUAAUAAGAUAGGACCUUGGUCUAUUUUGUUGGUUUGCAUUCCAAGGUAAUGAUUAAUAGGGAUAGUUGGGGGUAUUCGUAUUCAAUUGUCAGAGGUGAAAUUCUUGGAUUUAUGGAAGACGAACUACUGCGAAAGCAUUUACCAAGGAUGUUUUCAUUA
RNAcentral lists this ribosomal RNA (391 nucleotides) under Chrysophyceae sp. RNAcentral describes it as "partial small subunit ribosomal RNA". It matches the Rfam family "Eukaryotic small subunit ribosomal RNA", at positions 582 to 975 of the family's 1831-position model. Lineage: Eukaryota; Chrysophyceae. The record is from RNAcentral.